ACGAGGAGAAAGGGACUCUGGUGUCCAGGCAGUGACGGAAGCCCAGGCAUCACGGGCGGUCAUGGAUGUAUAGCGUGUUUACGGUUUUCGGUAGCUCCAUUCACGGGUGCAGGCACAGAGGAAGCAGCGUUGGAUUUAACCAGCUUGGCCUCCGGAAGGAGCCCAGACCUGCAGACACCUUGACGUCAGCCCAGUGAGACCGUUUUGGUUUUCUGACCUCCAGACCUUAAGAGCGCCCCACCACUGAUGGAGACCCUUCCUAAUUGGAUACACCAAGUAGAGUGGACAGAACCCCAAAGGAGCAGCACUUUCCGUGUGGGACCGUGACACGGCUGCACUCUUCCUGGGCUGGCCUAGAACCACCCUGCUGCUGGUUACCUCAUGAAGUUUCGAAUCGUGGCCAAGGAACGAGAUACAAUUUUAAAUGCUAGCUUCUGCUGCAGUCGGAGACUAUCAGACUUUCAU
Rhinolophus ferrumequinum (greater horseshoe bat) is the source of this 465-nucleotide long non-coding RNA. RefSeq lists it as uncharacterized. The transcript has 4 exons. Lineage: Eukaryota; Metazoa; Chordata; Mammalia; Chiroptera; Rhinolophidae. The record is from RefSeq and is a predicted model, not a curated record.